Molecule: transfer RNA, 73 nt
Filed under: Podarcis lilfordi (Lilford's wall lizard)
Lineage: Eukaryota; Metazoa; Chordata; Lepidosauria; Squamata; Lacertidae
Description: tRNA.Ile
Source: RNAcentral
GCCUGGAUAGCUCAGUUAGUUAGAGUGUGGUGCUGAUAACGUCCAGGUUGCAGGUUCAAUCCCCACAUAGGAA